RNAcentral lists this unclassified non-coding RNA (285 nucleotides) under plant metagenome. RNAcentral's name for it is "partial contains small subunit ribosomal RNA, internal transcribed spacer 1, and 5.8S ribosomal RNA". The stretch from base 1 to 50 matches the Rfam family "Eukaryotic small subunit ribosomal RNA", at positions 1784 to 1831 of the family's 1831-position model. The record is from RNAcentral.
GGAAGUAACGUAACAAGGUUUCCGUAGGUGAACCUGCGGAAGGAUCAUUAUCGUACAAAAUGUGAGGGGCAUGCGAGGGCUGUCGCUGACCCAAAAGUCGUGCACGCCCGAGUGUGUCCUCUUGCAUAAUAAUCCAUCUCACCCUUUGUGCAUCACCGCGUGGGCACCCUUCGGGAUCAUCUCGGAGGGGGGCUCGCGUUCUCACACAAACCCCCCUUUUAAAAGUGUAGAAUGACCACAUUUAUGCAAUCAAUACAACUUUCAACAACGGAUCUCUUGGCUCUC